Ornithodoros turicata is the source of this 881-nucleotide long non-coding RNA. RefSeq lists it as uncharacterized. The record is from RefSeq and is a predicted model, not a curated record. Lineage: Eukaryota; Metazoa; Arthropoda; Arachnida; Ixodida; Argasidae. The transcript has 3 exons.
CAAGAAGCCGAAGAUGUCUCGUCCGGGAUGCUGUGCCAACCUUAUCUGCAGCAGGAGAUUGCAGGGGCAGGACUAGGCAGCAGAUAAAGGCAUUCUGGCACCACCGAAAAGCUUGCACUCCACGUCUCAACUAUCACCGUCUGGGUUUCAAGCUGAAGGCUGUCAACAGUGCCAACCAGACGCCCCUUCAAAGUUCAUAUGUUUUUGUUGACGGAACAGUGACACCUGGUAAACCUGUCACGCAGAUGCCCUACCCCUUGGUAUGCAUAGUUCAAGAUUGUACCGAAACAAUCCACCUGGAGCAUUAUUCUUGAAUUGGCAGUGGCAUUACUAUCACAACACACCACCUACUGCAUGUCUAUGGUGCGUGUACAAUGCAUCAAACCUAUUCUCAGGUACAGGCCAGGUGGUACGCAAUUACAACAUGAAACAACUGACACAGAGACCGUAAAGUCAUGCCUUUUCCUCCGCGCCUCGGGUUUCAUGUUAUUAUCCUCACAUGCAGCUCAAUUCGCCUGUGCUGUGCAGCAUGAGCAAAAGCAUAUAUUGUUUGUGGUCACAUGACACGGAACGUAAAUACAAAGCGCAUUCUUUUCACUUGCACUGGACUGCACUACCUUGAACUCCACGCAAGACGGGUUUUCCGGAGCUGCACUUUCCAGCUGAAAGGAACUUUAUUAGUAAUGUCUUUCUUUUCAACAGGAAAGUGCAGCACGCAAAUAACCCAGUUCAGAUCUGGUGCAAGCGGUGGAAGCGAAAAGAAUGGACCUACAGUGAAACCUUCCUAUGUUGGACACCCGCGGUGCAGCCGAAGCGUCUCCUACUUAUAGAGGUGUCCGAGUUACAGAAUAUGACAGCAACAAAAAAUGGAAGAGAUCACA